RNAcentral lists this ribosomal RNA (696 nucleotides) under uncultured bacterium. Its description in RNAcentral is "bacterial SSU rRNA". It matches the Rfam family "Bacterial small subunit ribosomal RNA", at positions 32 to 715 of the family's 1533-position model. The record is from RNAcentral.
AACGCUAGCUACAGGCUUAACACAUGCAAGUCGAGGGGAAACGAUAUUGGAAGCUUGCUUCCGAUAGGCGUCGACCGGCGCACGGGUGAGUAACGCGUAUCCAACCUGCCCACCACUUGGGGAUAACCUUGCGAAAGUAAGACUAAUACCCAAUGAUAUCUCUAGAAGACAUCUGAAAGAGAUUAAAGAUUUAUCGGUGAUGGAUGGGGAUGCGUCUGAUUAGCUUGUUGGCGGGGUAACGGCCCACCAAGGCAACGAUCAGUAGGGGUUCUGAGAGGAAGGUCCCCCACAUUGGAACUGAGACACGGUCCAAACUCCUACGGGGGGCAGCAGUGAGGAAUAUUGGUCAAUGGACGAGAGUCUGAACCAGCCAAGUAGCGUGCAGGAAGACGGCCCUAUGGGUUGUAAACUGCUUUUAUAAGGGAAUAAAGUGAGUCUCGUGAGACUUUUUGCAUGUACCUUAUGAAUAAGGACCGGCUAAUUCCGUGCCAGCAGCCGCGGUAAUACGGAAGGUCCGGGCGUUAUCCGGAUUUAUUGGGUUUAAAGGGAGCGUAGGCCGGAGAUUAAGCGUGUUGUGAAAUGUAGAUGCUCAACAUCUGAACUGCAGCGCGAACUGGUUUCCUUGAGUACGCACAAAGUGGGCGGAAUUCGUGGUGUAGCGGUGAAAUGCUUAGAUAUCACGAAGAACUCCGAUUG